GAUAAACGCUGGCGGCGUGCAUGAGACAUGCAAGUCGAACGGACGAUCGAGGCUUGCCUUGAUCGUUAGUGGCGGACGGCUGAGUAACGCGUAGGUGACCUGCCCCGAAGUGGGGGAUAACUGCCCGAAAGGGUGGCUAAUACCGCAUGUGGUGGUUCGUUCAAUCGACCCAUCAAAGCAGCAAUGCGCUUCGGGAGGGGCCUGCGUCCGAUUAGCUCGUUGGUGGGGUAACGGCUCACCAAGGCGACGAUCGGUAGGUGGUCUGAGAGGACGAUCACCCAGACUGGGACUGAGACACGGCCCAGACUCCUACGGGAGGCAGCAGUGGGGAAUCUUGCGCAAUGGGCGAAAGCCUGACGCAGCGACGCCGCGUGAGGGAUGACGGCCUCGGU
Molecule: ribosomal RNA, 392 nt
Filed under: uncultured bacterium
Lineage: Bacteria
Description: bacterial SSU rRNA
Rfam family: Bacterial small subunit ribosomal RNA
Source: RNAcentral